This 31-nucleotide non-coding RNA is filed under the name Mus musculus (house mouse). Lineage: Eukaryota; Metazoa; Chordata; Mammalia; Rodentia; Muridae. The record is from RNAcentral.
UAAAAGUAGGAGAGAGUUUAUAACUCCUGGC